This 578-nucleotide ribosomal RNA is filed under the name Hanseniaspora uvarum. RNAcentral's name for it is "eukaryotic LSU rRNA". It matches the Rfam family "Eukaryotic large subunit ribosomal RNA", at positions 78 to 670 of the family's 3401-position model. Lineage: Eukaryota; Fungi; Ascomycota; Saccharomycetes; Saccharomycodales; Saccharomycodaceae. The record is from RNAcentral.
CCUUAGUAACGGCGAGUGAAGCGGUAAAAGCUCAAAUUUGAAAUCUGGUACUUUCAGUGCCCGAGUUGUAAUUUGUAGAAUUUGUCUUUGAUUAGGUCCUUGUCUAUGUUCCUUGGAACAGGACGUCAUAGAGGGUGAGAAUCCCGUUUGGCGAGGAUACCUUUUCUCUGUAAGACUUUUUCGAAGAGUCGAGUUGUUUGGGAAUGCAGCUCAAAGUGGGUGGUAAAUUCCAUCUAAAGCUAAAUAUUGGCGAGAGACCGAUAGCGAACAAGUACAGUGAUGGAAAGAUGAAAAGAACUUUGAAAAGAGAGUGAAAAAGUACGUGAAAUUGUUGAAAGGGAAGGGCAUUUGAUCAGACAUGGUGUUUUUUGCAUGCACUCGCCUCUCGUGGGCUUGGGCCUCUCAAAAAUUUCACUGGGCCAACAUCAAUUCUGGCAGCAGGAUAAAUCAUUAAGAAUGUAGCUACUUCGGUAGUGUUAUAGCUUUUUGGAAUACUGUUAGCCGGGAUUGAGGACUGCGCUUCGGCAAGGAUGUUGGCAUAAUGGUUAAAUGCCGCCCGUCUUGAAACACGGACCAAA